Molecule: ribosomal RNA, 446 nt
Filed under: uncultured bacterium
Lineage: Bacteria
Description: partial 16S ribosomal RNA
Rfam family: Bacterial small subunit ribosomal RNA
Source: RNAcentral
CCUACGGGUGGCAGCAGUCGAGAAUCAUUCACAAUGGGGGAAACCCUGAUGGUGCGACGCCGCGUGGGGGAAUGAAGGUCUUCGGAUUGUAAACCCCUGUCAUGUGGGAGCAAAUUAAAAAGAUAGUACCACAAGAGGAAGAGACGGCUAACUCUGUGCCAGCAGCCGCGGUAAUACAGAGGUCUCAAGCGUUGUUCGGAAUCACUGGGCGUAAAGCGGGCGUAGGCUGUUUCGUAAGUCGUGUGUAAAAGGGGCGGGCUCAACCCGCGGACGGCACGUGAUACUGCGUGACUAGAGUAAUGGAGGGGGAACAGGAAUUCUCGGUGUAGCAGUGAAAUGCGUAGAUAGAGAGAGGAACACUCGUGGCGAAGGCGGGUUCCUGGACAUUAACUGACGCUGAGGCACGAAGGCCAGGGGAGCGAAAGGGAUUAGAUACCCUAGUAGUC